This 2736-nucleotide ribosomal RNA is filed under the name Plagiorhynchus cylindraceus. RNAcentral's name for it is "eukaryotic LSU rRNA". It matches the Rfam family "Eukaryotic large subunit ribosomal RNA", at positions 368 to 2858 of the family's 3401-position model. Lineage: Eukaryota; Metazoa; Acanthocephala; Palaeacanthocephala; Polymorphida; Plagiorhynchidae. The record is from RNAcentral.
AAAGCACUUUGAAAAGAGAGUUCACAAGUGCGUGAAACUGUAUUCUGUAAAGCAAAUGACCGAACAAAUUUUUCUUUGCAAUCUGGCGUUAGCGUACGUGGCUAGAAGUACAUGGUGCGUGAUUGUACCAGCUGUUUGCACUAAUUUGCCUCGUUUAGUGUUGCCGAUUGUGUGAAUUUUGCCAGCAGGCUUACUAUGAAGAGUGGAUAUACGGCUACGCUUGCCCAGUGUUCCCGUUUCAAUAUCCUAAACUCACCAGAAGAUUCGCACCGUGUGUGUUUUCUUUUGUCUACAGUAAGCCUGCCGUAAAGAAGCAAUGUAAACUGUUUUGCUGUGUGCUUGUUACUGCAGUCACUGUAACUGAAGUGUUUUGACUGUACGUGGCUACUUGCAGUGAAUUUAUUGCUAGAAAUCAAAAUUGGCAAAAUAUUUGUUGUUCGGCGUUUGGGCCGUCUUGAAACACGGACUAAGGAGUUCAACUUGAAUGCGAGUUGCUUUCUGGUGAGAGUUUUGAAUGCGAAGUGAAAGCAACUCUGAAAAGAGAGAAGUUAACUGAUAGUUUGCGAACUUGAUGACUAGCACAUGUGAUGGGUAGCACACUAUUGUUGCUUACUGUACCUGAGCGUUCAGGUUGAGACCCGAAAGAUGGUGAACUAUGCCUGAGUAAGACGAAGCCAGGAGAAAUUCUGGUGGAGGUCCGAAGCGGUUUUGACGUGCAAAUCAAUCGUAUAACUUGGGCAUAGGGGCGAAAGACUAAUCGAACUGUCUAGUUGCUGGUUCCCUCCGAAGUUUCCCUCAGGAAAGCUGGUGUGUAUGUGUUAGUUUUACCUGGUAAAGCUAAUGAAUGGAGGGAUCGGAGUUGUAAUAUCUUUGACCUACUCUCAAACUUUAAACAGAUAAGAACAAGCUUGCUUAUUUAACGGGCACUGCUGUUGAAUAACACACACGCCAAGUGGGCCAUUUUUGGUAAGCAGAACUGGCGCUGUGGGUUGAACCGUACGAAGAGCUAAAGUGUCUAAUGCACUUCUCAAAAGAUACCAUGAAAGGCGUUAGUUGAUAUAGACAGCAGGACGGUGGCCAUGGAAGUCGGCAUCCGCUAAGGAGUGUGUAACGACUCACCUGCCGAAUCAACUAGCCCUGAAAAUGGAUGGAGCUAUAGACGGGAACUGAUGCUCUUCCAUUGAGAUUUUGUCGGUUGACUACCACUCUCAGUGUGUAGGAGGGCGUAGACGUUGACUGCGAAGCGUACAAUGCGAGUUGGCGUGAAGUUGGCGCUUGCGCAGAUCUUAGUGGCAGUAGCGAGUAUUCAAAUUAAAACUUUGAAGACUGAAGUGGAGAGGGGUUCCAUGUGAACAACAUUUGAACAUGGUUCAGCCGAUCCUAAGAGUGUGUGAAAUUCUGUGAUAUAGUGUGGGGCACUAGUUGAGCCCACACAAUCGAAAGGGAAUCGGGUUAAGAUUCCCGAGCCAGGUUCAAGACUAUGACGUACGCUCCUCGCGAGAGUGCGUCAGUAAGCGGUAACGCUCGCAAACCCAGAAACAGCCAUGUGAUGCUCGGGGAAGAGUUCUCUCUUCUUUGUUAGGUAUGCUUACCCUAGAAAUGAUUUCAUCGGAGGCAGGGUUAAAAUACCGUAUUGCGACGCGAAUCCUGCAUCGCACCGAGCCCAUUGCAUGGUCCGUGAAAAUCUGGGAGCGUAUGUUUGUCUUGCUCCUGAUCGUACCUAAUUCCGCAUCAGGUCUCCAAGGUGUAUAGCCUCUAGUCUAUGGGACAAAGUAGGCAAGGGAAAUCGGCAAAUUAGAUCCGUACCCUUGGUAAAAGGAUUGGCUCUGAAGGCUGAGCUGAUCGGACUGUUGUCAUAAGCGACGGCGGCGUGAUGGGUCUGACAAACCAUCUCUUUGAACGGCAAUCGGACCCUGCGUUUUCCGUUUUGCGGACGACUGCAGCUUGACAGUGCACGAUAGUGUGCUGAUAUCGAUUGGCGCCUAACAGCCGCUUCAGAACUGGUACGGACAAGGGGAAUCCGACUGUUUAAUUAAAACAAAGCAUUGCGAUUGCCGUCACCGGUCUUGACGCAAUGUGAUUUCUGCCCAGUGCUCUGAAUGUUAACGUGGCGAAAUCCAAAUAAGCGCGUGUAAACGGCGGAAGUAACUAUGACUUUCUCGAGGUAGCCAAAUGCCUCGUCAUCUAAUUAGUGACGCGCAUGAAUGGAUCAAUGAGAUUCCCGCUGUCCCUGUCUGCAGCCCAGCGAAACCACAGCCAAGGGAACGGGCUUGGAACUAGACGGCGGGGAAAGAAGACCCUGUUGAGCUUGACUCUAGUCAGUUAUUGUCAAGAAACAUGAGAGACGUAGGAUACGUGGGACCUCCGGGGUCAGUGAAAUACCACUGCUUUCAUUGUGUCUUGAAUUACUCGAUGGUUUUGUUACAAACUCUCAUUCAUAAAUUGCUUGCUUCAGUGCAGGUAUUGCCACUUUUUGAGAACACUUACUGAUUGGGAGUUUGACUGGGGCGGUACAUCUGUUAAAAUCUAACGCAGGUGCCCAAAGGUGAUCUCAGCGAGGACGGAAGCCUCGCAUAGAGUGAAAGGGCUAAAGAUUGCUUGAUCUUGAUUUAUACUACGAAUUUGGACGAUGAAAAUUUGGCCUUUCGAUCCUUUUGAAUUUUACGGGUUUUAAGCAAGAGGUGUCAGAAAAGUUACCACAGGGAUAACUGGCUUGUGGCGGCCAAGCGGUCAUGC